GUUCACCAGUGAUAGUUCUUCCUAUUCUAUUUUCUUCCCCUGUUUUUCCAUCUUUUUGACCUUUAUAUCAACAAUUAUUAUUCUUUUUUAAUAAAUAUAUUAGUCUCAUUCAUAUUUGGUUUGCCGUAUUUGAUCAGGUCUCGUUGAAUACUUCAAUUAAUUCAUAAUCUAUUUAAACAUCCUAAUCUGUCGGUUAAAAAUUCAUCUGCGUAAUUUGAAAGACGAAUUUUUUUUAAAAAAAAUCAAUGGCGACGGCUAUGGGAAUGAUGAGGAAUGUUGGGGGUUAUGGUUCUGCCUCUGCUUCAUGGAUUCGUUUGAAGAAUCGCGCAAACAAAAAGACGAAGAGGAGUGAGAAUGUUAAAUUUGGGGUUACUUGUGUUUAUUCACCUUCUCUGAGUGAUCCGUACAAGACCUUGAGGAUUCAACCUGAUGCUUCUGAAUCUGAUGUUAGAAAGGCUUUUAGACAGCUUGCUCUUCAGUAUCACCCGGAUGUAUGCAGAGGAAGUAAUUGCGGUAUACAAUUUCACCAAAUCAAUGAUGCAUACGAUACUGUGAUGAGUAACUUGAGAGGUGAAACAAAGAAUGCAGAAAUGGAGAUUUACGAAGAAUAUGACGAUGACGAUGAAGCCAUGAGAGGAGUGAAUGAUCCAGAUUAUGAUAUGUGGGAAGAAUGGAUGGGAUGGGAAGGAGCAGGCAUUCGGGAUUAUUCGUCUCACAUCAAUCCUUAUAUAUAAUUUUUAAAAAUAAACGUGGUGGUAUCUGGAUUAGCUCACAUGCCCGUUUUAUGUAUUAUCUUCGAUCAUUAUGUUUCUGUCAAAUACCCUAAAACCCAUCCAUCAUCUUCAAACUCAAAGAUGGUUUGAGGUUUCUGUAUAUACUCAAAGGAGGGAGUUGUAUAUUUUGUACAUAGAUGGAACCGUUCCACCUCUGUAUUUAUCAAUUCUAAUCAUGUAAUGAUAUCAAUGGAAAAUAUUAUUAUAUAGUUCAGAUUCCUAAAAUAAUUAUGAAGAUUAUAG
RNAcentral lists this unclassified non-coding RNA (1016 nucleotides) under Hevea brasiliensis (rubber tree). Lineage: Eukaryota; Viridiplantae; Streptophyta; Magnoliopsida; Malpighiales; Euphorbiaceae. The record is from RNAcentral.